This 482-nucleotide ribosomal RNA is filed under the name uncultured bacterium. RNAcentral's name for it is "partial 16S ribosomal RNA". It matches the Rfam family "Bacterial small subunit ribosomal RNA", at positions 28 to 507 of the family's 1533-position model. The record is from RNAcentral.
GACGAACGCUGGCGGCGUGCUUAACACAUGCAAGUCGAACGCUGAAGCUCAGCUUGCUGGGUGGAUGAGUGGCGAACGGGUGAGUAACACGUGAGUAACCUGCCCUCUUCUUUGGGAUAACGCCCGGAAACGGGUGCUAAUACUGGAUAUUCACUGAUUCUCGCAUGGGGGUUGGUGGAAAGGUUUUUUCUGGUGGGGGAUGGGCUCGCGGCCUAUCAGCUUGUUGGUGGGGUGAUGGCCUACCAAGGCUUUGACGGGUAGCCGGCCUGGGAGGGUGACCGGUCACAUUGGGACUGAGAUACGGCCCAGACUCCUACGGGAGGCAGCAGUGGGGAAUAUUGCGCAGUGGGCGAAAGCAUGAGGCAGCGACGCCGCGUGAGGGAUGGAGGCCUUGGGGUUGGAAACCUCUUUCGCUCAUGGUCAAGCCGCAGCUUUGGGUUGUGGUGAGGGUAGUGGGUAAAGAAGCGCCGGCUAACUACGUG